RNAcentral lists this ribosomal RNA (253 nucleotides) under uncultured bacterium. Its description in RNAcentral is "partial 16S ribosomal RNA". It matches the Rfam family "Bacterial small subunit ribosomal RNA", at positions 524 to 776 of the family's 1533-position model. The record is from RNAcentral.
UACGGAGGGUGCAAGCGUUAAUCGGAAUUACUGGGCGUAAAGCGCACGCAGGUGGCUGAGUCAGUCGAUUGUGAAAGCCCUGGGCUUAACCUGGGAAUUGCAGUCGAUACUACUCAGCUAGAGUAUGGGAGAGGGUAGUGGAAUUCCCAGUGUAGUGGUGAAAUACGUAGAGAUUGGGAAGAACACCAGUGGCGAAGGCGGCUAUCUGGACGGUUUCUGACGCUAAGACGCGAAAGCGUGGGGAGCAAACAGG